AGCUCCAAUAGCGUAUAUUAAAGUUGUUGUGGUUAAAAAGCUCGUAGUUGGAUUUCGGCGGGUAGUGGUUGGUUUUAAUUGAUUCUACUCUGUCUUUUUUACCCGUGUGCUUUGCCAGGAUUUUACGGGUGAACCUUAACAAUUGUCCCUUGGAACUGGCAGGUUUACUUUGAAAAAAUUAGAGUGCUCAAAGCAAGCUUACUGCUUGAAUAGUUGCGCAUGGAAUAAUAGAAUAGGAAGUCGUUUCUAUUUUGUUGGUUUUCGGAAAUCGACUUAAUGAUUAAUAGGGAUAGUCGGGGGCAUUCUUAUUCAAACGACAGAGGUGAAAUUCUUGGACCGUUUGAAGACGAACUAAGGCGAAAGCAUUUGCCAAGAAUGUUUUCA
Molecule: ribosomal RNA, 384 nt
Filed under: marine copepod environmental sample
Lineage: Eukaryota; Metazoa; Arthropoda; Copepoda
Description: SSU rRNA
Rfam family: Eukaryotic small subunit ribosomal RNA
Source: RNAcentral